This 747-nucleotide ribosomal RNA is filed under the name uncultured Bacillus sp. RNAcentral describes it as "bacterial SSU rRNA". It matches the Rfam family "Bacterial small subunit ribosomal RNA", at positions 383 to 1119 of the family's 1533-position model. Lineage: Bacteria; Bacillati; Bacillota; Bacilli; Caryophanales; Bacillaceae. The record is from RNAcentral.
CUGACGCAGCGACGCCGCGUGAGCGAAGAAGGCCUUCGGGUCGUAAAGCUCUGUUGUUAGGGAAGAACAAGUACGAGAGUAACUGCUCGUACCUUGACGGUACCUAACCAGAAAGCCACGGCUAACUACGUGCCAGCAGCCGCGGUAAUACGUAGGUGGCAAGCGUUGUCCGGAAUUAUUGGGCGUAAAGCGCGCGCAGGUGGUUCUUUAAGUCUGAUGUGAAAGCCCACGGCUCAACCGUGGAGGGUCAUUGGAAACUGGGGAACUUGAGUGCAGAAGAGGAAAGUGGAAUUCCAAGUGUAGCGGUGAAAUGCGUAGAGAUUUGGAGGAACACCAGUGGCGAAGGCGACUUUCUGGUCUGUAACUGACACUGAGGCGCGAAAGCGUGGGGAGCAAGCAGGAUUAGAUACCCUGGUAGUCCACGCCGUAAACGAUGAGUGCUAAGUGUUAGGGGGUUUCCGCCCCUUAGUGCUGCAGCUAACGCAUUAAGCACUCCGCCUGGGGAGUACGGCCGCAAGGCUGAAACUCAAAGGAAUUGACGGGGGCCCGCACAAGCGGUGGAGCAUGUGGUUUAAUUCGAAGCAACGCGAAGAACCUUACCAGGUCUUGACAUCCUCUGACAACCCUAGAGAUAGGGCGUUCCCCUUCGGGGGACAGAGUGACAGGUGGUGCAUGGUUGUCGUCAGCUCGUGUCGUGAGAUGUUGGGUUAAGUCCCGCAACGAGCGCAACCCUUGUCCUUAGUUGCC